This 69-nucleotide transfer RNA is filed under the name Sarcophilus harrisii (Tasmanian devil). It matches the Rfam family "tRNA". Rfam says of the family: Transfer RNA (tRNA) molecules are approximately 80 nucleotides in length. The record is from Rfam by way of RNAcentral. Lineage: Eukaryota; Metazoa; Chordata; Mammalia; Dasyuromorphia; Dasyuridae.
GAGAACUUAGCUUAAUUAAAAUGUUCGAUUUGUGUUUGAGUGAUGCAAGGUAAAGUCUUGUAGUUCUUA